GGGUGAGUAACACGUAGCUGACCUGCCCCAAAGAGCAGGAUAACGCGCCGAAAGGUGUGCUAAUACUGCAUAAGCUCACAUUAACUAAAUAGGUGUGAGAAAAGUUCAGGCGCUUUGGGAGGGGGCUGCGGCCCAUCAGGUAGUUGGCGGGGUAAAAGCCCACCAAGCCGAAGACGGGUAGCGGGUCUGAGAGGAUGAUCCGCCACACUGGGACUGAGACACGGCCCAGACUCCUACGGGAGGCAGCAGUGAGGAAUAUUGGUCAAUGGGGGCAACCCUGAACCAGCGACGCCGCGUGGGCGACGAAGGCCUUCGGGUCGUAAAGCCCUUUUCUGUGUGACGAGUCAGGACGGUAGCACAGGAAUAAGCCUCGGCUAACUACGUGCCAGCAGCCGCGGUAAAACGUAGGAGGCAAGCGUUAUCCGGAGUUACUGGGCGUAAAGCGCAUGUAGGCGGUUACUUACGUCCGAUGCGAAAGCUCCCGGCUUAACCGGGAGAGUGCGUCGGAUACGGGGAGACUAGAGGACGGUAGAGGAGCGUAGAAUUCCGGGUGUAGUAGUGAAAUGCGUAGAGAUCCGGAGGAAUACCAGUGGCGCAAGCGGCGCUCUGGGCCGCACCUGACGCUGAGAUGCGAAGGCAUGGGUAGCGAACGGGAUUAGAAACCCCGGUAGUCCAUGCAGUAAACGAUGCUUACUAGGUGUACAGUUCCCGUCAGGGAAGGGUGUACCGCAGUUAACACGAUAAGUAAGCCGCCUGGGAAGUACGGUCGCAAGACUAAAACUCAAAGGAAUUGACGGGGGCCCGCACAAGCAGCGGAGCGUGUGGUUUAAUUCGAUGAUACACGAAGAACCUUACCUAGGUUUGACAUGGCAAUAGUAGCGACUUGAAAAAGAAGCGACCCUUCGGGGAGUUGUCACAGGUGCUGCAUGGUUGUCGUCAGCUCGUGCCGUGAGGUGUUCGGUUAAGUCCGAAAACGAGCGCAACCCUCGGCGUUAGUUACAAGUGUCUAACGCAACUGCCCGUGAGAAACGGGAGGAAGGUGAGGAUGACGUCAAGUCAGCAUGCCCCUUACGUCCUGGGCAACACACGUACUACAAUGCUGCGGACAGAGGGUAGCGAGCCGGUGACGGCAAGCCAAUCCCGUAAACCGUGGCUCAGUUCAGAUCGAAGCUUGCAACUCAGCUUCGUGAAGGCGGAAUCGCUAGUAAUCGCAGGUCAGCAUACUGCGGUGAAU
Molecule: ribosomal RNA, 1234 nt
Filed under: uncultured bacterium
Lineage: Bacteria
Description: bacterial SSU rRNA
Rfam family: Bacterial small subunit ribosomal RNA
Source: RNAcentral